This 764-nucleotide ribosomal RNA is filed under the name uncultured Streptococcus sp. Its description in RNAcentral is "bacterial SSU rRNA". It matches the Rfam family "Bacterial small subunit ribosomal RNA", at positions 28 to 776 of the family's 1533-position model. Lineage: Bacteria; Bacillati; Bacillota; Bacilli; Lactobacillales; Streptococcaceae. The record is from RNAcentral.
GACGAACGCUGGCGGCGUGCCUAAUACAUGCAAGUAGAACGCUGAAGAGAGGAGCUUGCUCUUCUUGGAAGAGUUGCGAACGGGUGAGUAACGCGUAGGUAACCUGCCUUGUAGCGGGGGAUAACUAUUGGAAACGAUAGCUAAUACCGCAUAACAAUGGGUGACCCAUGUCAUUUAUUUGAAAGGGGCAACUGCUCCACUACAAGAUGGACCUGCGUUGUAUUAGCUAGUAGGUGAGGUAACGGCUCACCUAGGCGACGAUACAUAGCCGACCUGAGAGGGUGAUCGGCCACACUGGGACUGAGACACGGCCCAGACUCCUACGGGAGGCAGCAGUAGGGAAUCUUCGGCAAUGGGGGCAACCCUGACCGAGCAACGCCGCGUGAGUGAAGAAGGUUUUCGGAUCGUAAAGCUCUGUUGUAAGUCAAGAACGAGUGUGAGAGUGGAAAGUUCACACUGUGACGGUAGCUUACCAGAAAGGGACGGCUAACUACGUGCCAGCAGCCGCGGUAAUACGUAGGUCCCGAGCGUUGUCCGGAUUUAUUGGGCGUAAAGCGAGCGCAGGCGGUUUGAUAAGUCUGAAGUUAAAGGCUGUGGCUCAACCAUAGUUCGCUUUGGAAACUGUCAAACUUGAGUGCAGAAGGGGAGAGUGGAAUUCCAUGUGUAGCGGUGAAAUGCGUAGAUAUAUGGAGGAACACCGGUGGCGAAAGCGGCUCUCUGGUCUGUAACUGACGCUGAGGCUCGAAAGCGUAGUAGCAAACAGG